CCCUACGGGGGGCAGCAGUGAGGAAUAUUGGUCAAUGGACGAGAGUCUGGCCCAGCCAAGUAGCGUGAAGGAUGACUGCCCUAUGGGUUGUAAACUUCUUUUAUAUGGGAAUAAAGUUUUCCACGUGUGGAAUUUUGUAUGUACCAUAUGAAUAAGGAUCGGCUAACUCCGUGCCAGCAGCCGCGGUAAUACGGAGGAUCCGAGCGUUAUCCGGAUUUAUUGGGUUUAAAGGGAGCGUAGGAGGAUUGUUAAGUCAGUUGUGAAAGUUUGCGGCUCAACCGUAAAAUUGCAGUUGAAACUGGCAG
RNAcentral lists this ribosomal RNA (305 nucleotides) under uncultured bacterium. RNAcentral's name for it is "bacterial SSU rRNA". It matches the Rfam family "Bacterial small subunit ribosomal RNA", at positions 337 to 639 of the family's 1533-position model. The record is from RNAcentral.